CUAAUCAUAACAUAUAAAGUAAUCGAGUUCAUGGUUUCAUACAGGCUAAUUUCUGUAUUGAUGACCGUCACACCACACCAAGAUGCUGUCGGUAGAAGAUGGGUGAUGACGGUCUUUGGCAUUUUGAUGGCCAACGGCAACGCAAAGUCCUACGCAGCCCGGAAGAAGUGAAGUGUGUGCUCAAACAAUACCAAAAGAUCUUUCCUGUGCUCCAAGCACUUCACAGAGGACUGCUUUGAUCACUCAGGAGGGAGUGUAUCUCUCAAAUCCGAUGCAGUCGCCACUGUGGCAAUGGCAUCAGACAUUCAAC
This is a long non-coding RNA of Clupea harengus (Atlantic herring), 310 nucleotides long. The record is from Ensembl. Lineage: Eukaryota; Metazoa; Chordata; Actinopteri; Clupeiformes; Clupeidae.